Molecule: ribosomal RNA, 253 nt
Filed under: uncultured bacterium
Lineage: Bacteria
Description: partial 16S ribosomal RNA
Rfam family: Bacterial small subunit ribosomal RNA
Source: RNAcentral
UACAGAGGUCUCGAGCGUUAGGCGGAAUCACUGGGCUUAAAGCGUGUGUAGGUGGAUCGUUAAGUACCUUGUGAAAUCCCACGGCUUAACCGUGGAACUGCUUGGUAUACUGGCGGUCUUGAGCCAGCUAGGGGCUACCGGAACAAAUGGUGGAGCGGUGAAAUGCGUAGAUAUCAGGAGGAACACCUGUGGCGAAAGCGGCGCACUGGACCACAACUGACGCUGAGGCGCGAAAGCUAGGGGAGCAAACAGG